This 479-nucleotide ribosomal RNA is filed under the name uncultured bacterium. Its description in RNAcentral is "partial 16S ribosomal RNA". It matches the Rfam family "Bacterial small subunit ribosomal RNA", at positions 28 to 507 of the family's 1533-position model. The record is from RNAcentral.
GAUGAACGCUAGCGGGAGGCCUAACACAUGCAAGCCGAGCGGUAUUGUUUCUUCGGAAAUGAGAGAGCGGCGUACGGGUGCGUAACACGUGUGCAACCUGCCUUUAUCUGGGGGAUAGCCUUUCGAAAGGAAGAUUAAUACUCCAUAAUAUAUUGAACGGCAUCGUUUAAUAUUGAAAGCUCCGGCGGCUAGAGAUGGGCACGCGCAAGAUUAGCUAGUUGGUGAGGUAACGGCUCACCAAGGCGAUGAUCUUUAGGGGGCCUGAGAGGGUGAUCCCCCACACUGGUACUGCGACACGGACCAGACUCCUACGGGAGGCAGCAGUGUGGUAUAUUGGUCAAUGGGUGCUAGCCUGAACCAGCCAUCCCGCGUGAAGGACGACUGCCCUAUGGGUUGUAAACUUCUUUUGUAUAGGGAUAAACCUACCCUCGAGAGGGUAGCUGAAGGUACUAUACGAAUAAGCACCGGCUAACUCCGUG